UUUUUCAGCAAGAAAAGCCAACAAUCAACUUGAGCAAAAUAAUCGUCAAUUUACACAAACCCAAAUCCCUCUCAUCUUCUUCAAAUUCACAAAUCUAUUUUGACAAACACAAUCAAGCGAUUUUUGUAUUUCAAUUCUAACAUAGAAACAUUGGGAUCGAGAAGAUCCAAGCUUUAACUAUAAACCCAAAUCAAAUUCAAAAAAAAAAAAAAACACUAGAAAUAGUAAAAUAAACCAUUACCUUACCUAACCCUACACAUACACACAAGAAACCCUAAUUCACUA
RNAcentral lists this unclassified non-coding RNA (285 nucleotides) under Hevea brasiliensis (rubber tree). Lineage: Eukaryota; Viridiplantae; Streptophyta; Magnoliopsida; Malpighiales; Euphorbiaceae. The record is from RNAcentral.